GACAGAUCCUUUCCCAACCGGGAGACUCCAUCGCAUCCCUGGAGGGGGUACAGAAGUUUUCUCAAAUUCCUAUUGCGAGCUAAUUGGACCGAUUUGUAGAUACUGUCAAUUAUAUUACAUACCGAUGGGAAGUCUGCAAUCCUGAACAAGCCCUCCUGCAAGAGGUAUCCCUCUGAAGAAGGUCAGAGGAAAGAAGAUGAAAAAAUUUAUAAAGACUUUAGAUAAUGGAUAACACAAGAAAUUAUGUUAAAUGUAUAUAUGUGAUUGAUCAUGCGUGAAAAAGGUUACCAACAGAUGGAAAAAUGAUUAGCAAAGGGUACUCUGUGAUAAUGCUUAAACAUUUCUUGCUACAUGCUAUUGCCUGACGUUUAUUAGAUGGGUGACAUUACAGGAUAAACUUUAUCUUUGGGCAGAAAUCAAAGCGGGAGUGUUGAAGAGGCCAACAAACUGUCCAACUUCUAACUUCUGGGUCUCGUUCUUAUCAUCUGAUACUGUCUUCCAUCUUAGAUCUAAGUCAAAAGUAGUGCAAGGGGUUAGGGACAGGAUAGUGGGAGAACUGGCUAGUUCAUGAAUGGCUGAAGGAAACCUGUAAAAGGAAGCCCAAUAUAUUCUUGUGGGGGCAAAAACUAUU
This is a long non-coding RNA of Leucoraja erinaceus (little skate), 631 nucleotides long. RefSeq lists it as uncharacterized. Lineage: Eukaryota; Metazoa; Chordata; Chondrichthyes; Rajiformes; Rajidae. The transcript has 3 exons. The record is from RefSeq and is a predicted model, not a curated record.